GACGAACGCUGGCGGCGUGCCUAAUACAUGCAAGUUGAGCGCUGAAGGUUGGUACUUGUACCAACUGGAUGAGCAGCGAACGGGUGAGUAACGCGUGGGGAAUCUGCCUUUGAGCGGGGGACAACAUUUGGAAACGAAUGCUAAUACCGCAUAAAAACUUUAAACACAAGUUUUAAGUUUGAAAGAUGCAAUUGCAUCACUCAAAGAUGAUCCCGCGUUGUAUUAGCUAGUUGGUGAGGUAAAGGCUCACCAAGGCGAUGAUACAUAGCCUACCUGAGAGGGUGAUCGGCCACAUUGGGACUGAGACACGGCCCAAACUCCUACGGGAGGCAGCAGUAGGGAAUCUUCGGCAAUGGACGAAAGUCUGACCGAGCAACGCCGCGUGAGUGAAGAAGGUUUUCGGAUCGUAAAACUCGGUUGGUAGAGAAGAACGUUGGUGAGAGUGGAAAGCUCAUCAAGUGACGGUAACUACCCAGAAAGGGACGGCUAACUACGUG
RNAcentral lists this ribosomal RNA (497 nucleotides) under uncultured bacterium. RNAcentral describes it as "partial 16S ribosomal RNA". It matches the Rfam family "Bacterial small subunit ribosomal RNA", at positions 28 to 507 of the family's 1533-position model. The record is from RNAcentral.